Molecule: non-coding RNA, 521 nt
Organism: Salmo salar (Atlantic salmon)
Lineage: Eukaryota; Metazoa; Chordata; Actinopteri; Salmoniformes; Salmonidae
Source: RefSeq, a predicted model, not a curated record
GAGACGAAGAGAGGACCUUGUCAUGCUAGCUGUGUGUAGGUGUGUGUUCUGUGUGAGAAAAAGAGGGGGAGAGAGAUUACGAAUAACUAAUAGAAAAGAUUGUAAUCAUGUCAACAUUGUGUCAUGCUAGCUGAGAGAGAGAGAGAGAGACAUUACAACUCUCAACUGCCUUUUUCAAUUUCUGAAUCUUCUAGCUUGGAUGGGAGGAAGGAACAACGGGAAGUUAUCCAGCCUGCCGACCAAGAGAUUUCCUGAAACAUAUCAAUGACCUGAUGCAUGGCCUCUACAGCAGUGCUUGGCCAGCCAUUCAGUUACGAAUUACUUAUUCAGCCACAUCCCAGGGAGAGAGCAGAACCACCCCUCAUUCAAUCCAUGGUCACUGAAGGUCUCACUGAGACUUGAUUCCCCAAGAGACAUGCAAUUCAAUUUACCACAGGUGGACUCUAAUCACGUUGUAGAAACAUCUCAAGGAUGAUCAAUGGAAACAGGAUCCACUUUAGCUCAAUUUCGAGUCUCAUAGC